Molecule: long non-coding RNA, 866 nt
Organism: Tyto alba (common barn owl)
Lineage: Eukaryota; Metazoa; Chordata; Aves; Strigiformes; Tytonidae
Exons: 3
Source: RefSeq, a predicted model, not a curated record
GAGAACUUCUCACAGAAAGUGCUCGCACGUACGGUCGUCACUGUACAGCAGCCUCCCCUCCAAACUACCACGGCAAAGAUGAAGCAGUUGUUUGAAGCAUGGUGAAAACUGUCCGAUUCUCAACAGCAGCCAUACAUGCAGCUUGCUGAAGAUGAUAAGGUUCGGUACGAGAAUGAAAUGCAGUUGUGGGAAGCAAAAAUGGUCGAACUUGGAUGCGAAGACCUGAUACGUUCCAGAAAGCAAAAGCCAGAAAAGAAAACUGCUGAAACCUGUAAACAAAGCUGAAACAGCCAAAGCUUCUUCAUAUGAAAAUGAGGCAAAAUUAAAGUUGAAAAAAUCAGAAGAAUGAAAUGGUUAAGUAUUUUAUAUUUGAUGCCCUUUGGUUGUCACGUCUUUGUCCUGCUGUGUUAAUGCUGCAGUCUGCAUUAGCACCAAAAUUUGGAGAACCCAUAAAGGGCCCACUGGAGAAGUAGAAAAGAUGAUCAGGGAAGAGAGGAUGCGGUAUCUCUCAGAACUGACUGAAAUAAUCAUUGCAGGUGUAGCCUCAACUGUACAACAGUAACUGGUUAAUCAAGCUGUGAGUAGUGAUACUCACUGACAUCAGCAGAGCUCUCCAGUAAUGGUAGAUAACAGCUAGCUUUUAUAAGAUAUUUUGAAUGAAAGCAAGAAUAUUCUGCAAUGUUACCAUCUAAAUGCUGUAAAUAAGAGCUGAAAUGUGAGUUAAUGCUGCUGUGUUUUAUUCCCUCCGUGGUAUUGGUAGCGAAAUGUUCUACAUUUCAACAAAAGGCACAGGAAAGGUAAAAUACUAACUUUUAUUUCAUGCAUCUGUCUUUUUGUACGAAUCAAUCAGUGUAUACCACCUAUGU